GGGAGCGCGAGUGCCGCUCGCCGGGCCGGGCCGGUGGCUGGGCACCCAGCGCCGAGCAUCGGCCCCGCAGCCCAGCCCGGCACAGCCCAGCCCUGCGCUGCCCGGCCCGGCCCGGCCUGGCUCGGCUCGGCUCGGCUCGGCACAGCCCGACCUGUCUCGCUCCUGGCCGCCCUGCCCCGGCCGUGCCCGCACCUUGGAGCGGACGGACGGAUGGACGGACGGAUGGCCGGCAUCCCCGACGGAGGGAUGUUUCUGUCUUUGGUUAUCUAGCUGUAUGAGUGUUGUGGAGCCAUCAUAAAGCUAGAUAACCGAAAGUAGAAAUGACUUCCAGACCUGCUCGCCCAGGGGAAGCGGCCGCACCAGGACCGGCAGUGCAGAGACGGCCGGACUCGCCGCCCUGGGGGCUCCAGACAUGACUGAGAGUUCGUGGAGUGGGAUGCCUUGGGAAGGGCUGGGACGUCUCCACCUGAGCAAGGAGAGAUCCCAGUGAGCGGACAAGGGACUUCUGAAGCCUGUGAGUUCCUUCUUGCAGUUGGCUACCACCUGCCCGGAUUUGCCAUCUGACUUCUCAGAGUUUCUCCAGGAGGAUCCCAACUGCUUUUCCAUUGGCCUCAGAGAGGAGACAGCUUUGUCUUAUGAACACAGUGGAUUUCUGCAUCACUUCGAAACACAGCAGUGCAGCCAUGGGGAGGGAGCCAGGGCAACACAGGGAGCCAAGGGAUCAUCCCACAUCACUCCUGCAUGCCGCCUUCAGUGCCCUCAAUACCCCAGAACAGGACCGAAGUGCCUAGGCAGAGAGACCUGAGCCAGUCACUGCCUCACCUGGUGAAAUACCAGGUGUGUGAAGUUUGGAGGGAGGUUUUAGCCCUCGGCUUUGCUCAUGGAGCAGAGCUUGGCCCUUGCUGGUCUUAAUCCCUGGGUCUGUGAAGCUGUGGGAGUGCAGCCUUCCUGAAGGCAGUGUGCUUGGGGCCCUGAGGACCGUGAGCCUAUCCAGGCCAAGCAGCCCUGCUGCUGUUUUACUGCACCUUCUCUGUUCCUGUAAGAGAAAUGUACUGCCUGUAAUUCUCUCCCAUUCAAAUCCCCCCCCGACCCCACCCCAUGCACUGUUGAAAAUAAACUCUCCCUUUUGCAAAAGUG
Long non-coding RNA from Oenanthe melanoleuca, 1137 nucleotides. RefSeq lists it as uncharacterized. The transcript has 4 exons. The record is from RefSeq and is a predicted model, not a curated record. Lineage: Eukaryota; Metazoa; Chordata; Aves; Passeriformes; Muscicapidae.